Dreissena polymorpha is the source of this 426-nucleotide long non-coding RNA. RefSeq lists it as uncharacterized. The record is from RefSeq and is a predicted model, not a curated record. The transcript is spliced from 6 exons. Lineage: Eukaryota; Metazoa; Mollusca; Bivalvia; Myida; Dreissenidae.
AGCUGAGUUGGUUGACUAACUGUUUCCAGGUUAGGUAACUUACAACACUAGAUAGCUGAGAUGGUUAACUAACUGUUUCCAGGUUAGGUAACUUACGACAAUAGAUAAAUGAGAUGGUUGACUAACUGUUUCCAGGUUAGGUAACUUAUGAGACUAGAUAGCUGAGAUGGUUGACUAACUGUUUCCAGGUUAGGUAACUUACAACACUAGAUAACUGAGAUGGUUGACUAACUGUUUCCAGGUUAGGUAACUUACAACACUAGAUAGCUGAGAUGGUUGACUUGUUCCAGGUUAGGUAACUUACAACACUAGAUAGCUGAGAUGGUUGACAAACUGUUUCCUGGUUAGGUAACUUAUGACACUACAUAGCUGAGAUAACUGAGAUGGCUUACCUACUAAUUGUCUACAGGUAAAUAAAAAACCCUA